This is a small nuclear RNA of Myotis lucifugus (little brown bat), 63 nucleotides long. Its record names the gene U7. It matches the Rfam family "U7 small nuclear RNA". From Rfam's summary of the family: Animal histone pre-mRNAs are spliced by a different mechanism than nuclear pre-mRNAs and self-splicing introns. The record is from Ensembl. Lineage: Eukaryota; Metazoa; Chordata; Mammalia; Chiroptera; Vespertilionidae.
UAGUGCUUUCAGCUCCUUUUGAAUUUGUCCAGCAGGUCUUCCGGCUUUUACCAAAAAGCCCUC